Molecule: transfer RNA, 73 nt
Filed under: bacterium
Lineage: Bacteria
Description: tRNA-Ile
Rfam family: tRNA
About the family: Transfer RNA (tRNA) molecules are approximately 80 nucleotides in length. Their secondary structure includes four short double-helical elements and three loops (D, anti-codon, and T loops).
Source: RNAcentral
GCACUUGUAGCUCAGUAGGUAGAGCAUCGGUCUUAUGAGCCGAAGGUCAUGGGUUCAAUCCCCAUCUAGUGCA